This 700-nucleotide ribosomal RNA is filed under the name Haloarcula sp. S2LM9. Its description in RNAcentral is "bacterial SSU rRNA". It matches the Rfam family "Archaeal small subunit ribosomal RNA", at positions 29 to 732 of the family's 1478-position model. The record is from RNAcentral. Lineage: Archaea; Methanobacteriati; Methanobacteriota; Halobacteria; Halobacteriales; Haloarculaceae.
GCAUGGGAUCGAUUUAGCCAUGCUAGUCGCACGGGUUCAUGACUCGUGGCAUAUAGCUCAGUAACACGUGGCCAAACUACCCUACAGACCGCAAUAACCUCGGGAAACUGAGGCCAAUAGCGGAUAUAACUCUCAGGCUGGAGUGCCGAGAGUUAGAAACGUUCCGGCGCUGUAGGAUGUGGCUGCGGCCGAUUAGGUAGAUGGUGGGGUAACGGCCCACCAUGCCGAUAAUCGGUACAGGUUGUGAGAGCAAGAGCCUGGAGACGGUAUCUGAGACAAGAUACCGGGCCCUACGGGGCGCAGCAGGCGCGAAACCUUUACACUGCACGACAGUGCGAUAGGGGGACUCCGAGUGUGAGGGCAUAUAGCCCUCGCUUUUCUGUACCGUAAGGUGGUACAGGAACAAGGACUGGGCAAGACCGGUGCCAGCCGCCGCGGUAAUACCGGCAGUCCAAGUGAUGGCCGAUAUUAUUGGGCCUAAAGCGUCCGUAGCUUGCUGUGUAAGUCCAUUGGGAAAUCGACCAGCUCAACUGGUCGGCGUCCGGUGGAAACUACACAGCUUGGGGCCGAAAGACUCGACGGGUACGUCCGGGGUAGGAGUGAAAUCCUGUAAUCCUGGACGGACCACCAAUGGGGAAACCACGUUGAGAGACCGGACCCGACAGUGAGGGACGAAAGCUAGGGUCUCGAACCGGAUUAG